UGAGUUGACUACUUCCAUGCCCUAAACACAUCUGUUACACAUAUAUAAAGGUACAUGUCUAUGAUGAGGAUCAUAUGCAUAUAUAAAGGUACAUGUCUAUGAUGUGGAUCAUAUGCAUGUAUAAAGGUACAUGUCUAUGAUGAGGAUCAUAUGCAUGUAUAAAGGUACAUGUCUAUGAUGAGGAUCAUAUGCAUAUAUAAAGGUACAGGUCUAUGAUGAGGAUCA
Molecule: non-coding RNA, 225 nt
Organism: Gasterosteus aculeatus aculeatus (three-spined stickleback)
Lineage: Eukaryota; Metazoa; Chordata; Actinopteri; Perciformes; Gasterosteidae
Source: RefSeq, a predicted model, not a curated record